RNAcentral lists this ribosomal RNA (460 nucleotides) under uncultured bacterium. RNAcentral's name for it is "partial 16S ribosomal RNA". It matches the Rfam family "Bacterial small subunit ribosomal RNA", at positions 338 to 795 of the family's 1533-position model. The record is from RNAcentral.
CCUACGGGAGGCAGCAGUGAGGAAUAUUGGUCAAUGGGCGCGAGCCUGAACCAGCCACGUAGCGUGAAGGAUGACUGCCCUACGGGUUGUAAACUUCUUUUAUAAAGGAAUAAAGUGAGGCACGUGUGCCUUUUUGUAUGUACUUUAUGAAUACGGAUCGGCUAACUCCGUGCCAGAAGCCGCGGUAAUACGGAGGAUCCGAGCGUUAUCCGGAUUUAUUGGGUUUAAAGGGAGCGUAGAUGGGUUGUUAAGUCAGUUGUGAAAGUUUGCGGCUCAACCGUAAAAUUGCAAUUGAUACUGGCAGUCUUGAGUGCAGUUGAGGUAGGCGGAAUUCGGGGUGUAGCGGUGAAAUGCUUAGAUAUCACGAAGAACUCCGAUGGCGAAGGCAGCUUACUAAACUGUAACUGACAUUGAUGCUCGAAAGCGUGGGGAGCAAACAGGAUUAGAUACCCCAGUAGUC